Molecule: long non-coding RNA, 742 nt
Organism: Diachasma alloeum
Lineage: Eukaryota; Metazoa; Arthropoda; Insecta; Hymenoptera; Braconidae
Exons: 2
Source: RefSeq, a predicted model, not a curated record
GGUGCGUUGCAGGUGCACGAGGGAGUCGUGGGAGCUUUCGUCAGAGCUCUCUGGCUCGUCUGGAACUGGCGCCCAGUGGAAUAUCGGGGACGGCUGGAGGAGGACGUAGUCCGUGUCUGGGGCUCGGCUGAUGCUCAGGGAUCGCGGACGAUCUGCUCCUGGAACAGAAUUAUUGGCGAUGGUUUUGGAAAGUGCUGAAACGAAAUCAACAGCGACGGGAUUUUUGAAACUGUUUAAGUUGAUUUAGCAAUGUGUGCCGUACUCGAUGUCGAUGUCAGGGCUUUGGUCAGACUUCGGUGGUUCUUCAACAAUAACCAGAGGCAGUGUAAGCGGAAGAGAAGUGGGCUCACCUGCUAGUGAGUCUGGCUGGAUGGCAGACGGUGAGGGAACGUCUAAAACAUCCUCGCAUGCCUCUUCAUUCAGCGUUUGCAGAGCUCCGCAGAUCAUCUGCUCUUCCAAUGUUACCUAGCAGAAUACAUUCGUUCAACUCUUGUACUAUUUUUUUUUUCAUGAAUAUAAUCAUUAUCUGAACAAUAAUGACAGUGACAAUAAUUUCAUCUUGAGGAAAUUAGGUUUUGAAUGUUUUCUGGUGGAUUUAGAGAGAAUAAACAAAUUCGACACUUCCUAAUGAAACAAGGGUAUCUCAGAAUUCCCUACAAACUCAUCUAUCUCAAUUUUCCGGGGAAAACUCAUGUAACUCAGACGAAAUAAAAAAAUACUUAUCUCAGUAACUCUGAUUAAA